Molecule: long non-coding RNA, 512 nt
Filed under: Rattus norvegicus (Norway rat)
Lineage: Eukaryota; Metazoa; Chordata; Mammalia; Rodentia; Muridae
Description: long non-coding RNA NONRATT017283
Rfam family: tRNA (bases 363-422)
Source: RNAcentral
CAGCGAUCAAGGCUUCUGGGGUCCUAAGUGCCUCCGUUCCCUUCCCCAACCACGCAGGCUGGAGGUAGGCUGAGAUGGGUGAUAUACACCUUCCCAACAUGGUUCAAAUCCUCUCACUUUUCCUCUGAUUUACUUUGUUUGUAAGUAGCCAGACCUGAUGUGAUGAAACCCUCCAGCAUCCGGAACUAAUCGGCCUAGGAGUCCAGUUAUGCCAUCCCAACAUAAAACUCAGUAGCAUUCCCUGUGUGGGAAGCAGGGUUCCUUUCACCUGGAUGCUGGGUUUUUUUCUGCGUCAUCUUACGCGACUGCCCUGUGAAUCUGUAACGAUCUUAAAAAAAGAAAUCACUUCAGGGGCUGGAGAGGUGGCUCAGUGGUUAAGAGCACUGGCUGCUCUUCCAGAGGUUCUGAGUUCGAUUCCCAGCAACCACAUGGGAUUCGCAACCAUCGAUGCCCUCUUCUGAUGUGUCCAAAGACAGUGACAGUGUGUUCACUUAUAUUUAAAAAGAAAGAAA